GUUCUUUGAAGUAUAAGAAAUAGCACCUGCCCGAUGUUCAAUGGCUGCAGUAUUCUGACUGUACAAAGGUAGCAUAAUCAAUAGCCUUUUAAUUGAAGGCUGGAAUGAAAGGUAGUACUAGGCAGGAUGUUUUACAUCUUGAAAUUAGAUAAAGUGUAAAAAUCCACUUAUUAACCCCCAGGACGACAAGACCCUAGGAGCUUUAAGACCCUUUUUAUUGGGGCGAUAGAGGAAGAUAAUAAUCUUUCCAUAGUUACCCUAGGGAUAACAGCGUAAUUUAAGACUAGAGUCCUGAUUUAAUCUUAAGCUUGCGACCUCGAUGUUGAAUUAAAAGAUGAAGGAGUUUCAGUCUGUUCGACUGGUAAUAUUUUACA
RNAcentral lists this ribosomal RNA (374 nucleotides) under Assamiidae gen. sp. RNAcentral's name for it is "partial large subunit ribosomal RNA". It matches the Rfam family "Bacterial large subunit ribosomal RNA", at positions 1833 to 2600 of the family's 2925-position model. The record is from RNAcentral. Lineage: Eukaryota; Metazoa; Arthropoda; Arachnida; Opiliones; Assamiidae.